This 1097-nucleotide ribosomal RNA is filed under the name Enterobacter cloacae. RNAcentral's name for it is "bacterial SSU rRNA". It matches the Rfam family "Bacterial small subunit ribosomal RNA", at positions 75 to 1171 of the family's 1533-position model. Lineage: Bacteria; Pseudomonadati; Pseudomonadota; Gammaproteobacteria; Enterobacterales; Enterobacteriaceae. The record is from RNAcentral.
CUUGCUCUCGGGUGACGAGUGGCGGACGGGUGAGUAAUGUCUGGGAAACUGCCUGAUGGAGGGGGAUAACUACUGGAAACGGUAGCUAAUACCGCAUAACGUCGCAAGACCAAAGAGGGGGACCUUCGGGCCUCUUGCCAUCAGAUGUGCCCAGAUGGGAUUAGCUAGUAGGUGGGGUAACGGCUCACCUAGGCGACGAUCCCUAGCUGGUCUGAGAGGAUGACCAGCCACACUGGAACUGAGACACGGUCCAGACUCCUACGGGAGGCAGCAGUGGGGAAUAUUGCACAAUGGGCGCAAGCCUGAUGCAGCCAUGCCGCGUGUAUGAAGAAGGCCUUCGGGUUGUAAAGUACUUUCAGCGGGGAGGAAGGUGUUGUGGUUAAUAACCACAGCAAUUGACGUUACCCGCAGAAGAAGCACCGGCUAACUCCGUGCCAGCAGCCGCGGUAAUACGGAGGGUGCAAGCGUUAAUCGGAAUUACUGGGCGUAAAGCGCACGCAGGCGGUCUGUCAAGUCGGAUGUGAAAUCCCCGGGCUCAACCUGGGAACUGCAUUCGAAACUGGCAGGCUGGAGUCUUGUAGAGGGGGGUAGAAUUCCAGGUGUAGCGGUGAAAUGCGUAGAGAUCUGGAGGAAUACCGGUGGCGAAGGCGGCCCCCUGGACAAAGACUGACGCUCAGGUGCGAAAGCGUGGGGAGCAAACAGGAUUAGAUACCCUGGUAGUCCACGCCGUAAACGAUGUCGAUUUGGAGGUUGUGCCCUUGAGGCGUGGCUUCCGGAGCUAACGCGUUAAAUCGACCGCCUGGGGAGUACGGCCGCAAGGUUAAAACUCAAAUGAAUUGACGGGGGCCCGCACAAGCGGUGGAGCAUGUGGUUUAAUUCGAUGCAACGCGAAGAACCUUACCUGGUCUUGACAUCCACAGAACUUUCCAGAGAUGGAUUGGUGCCUUCGGGAACUGUGAGACAGGUGCUGCAUGGCUGUCGUCAGCUCGUGUUGUGAAAUGUUGGGUUAAGUCCCGCAACGAGCGCAACCCUUAUCCUUUGUUGCCAGCGGUUAGGCCGGGAACUCAAAGGAGACUGCCAGUGAUAAACUGGAGGAA